GUCUUAGCUCAGCGGUAGGGCAUCGGCUUUGCAAACGAAAGGUCGCAGGUUCAAUCCCUGGCAUCUCCA
Non-coding RNA from Podarcis lilfordi (Lilford's wall lizard), 69 nucleotides. Lineage: Eukaryota; Metazoa; Chordata; Lepidosauria; Squamata; Lacertidae. The record is from the annotation of a GenBank genome assembly.